GACGAACGCUGGCGGCGUGCCUAAUACAUGCAAGUCGAGCGAAUCACUGGGAGCUUGCUCCCGGUGGUUGGCGGCGGACGGGUGAGUAACACGUGGGCAACCUGCCUGUAAGACUGGGAUAACUUCGGGAAACCGGAGCUAAUACCGGAUAAUUUCUUCCCUCACAUGAGGGAAGGUUGAAAGUCGGUUUCGGCUGACACUUACAGAUGGGCCCGCGGCGCAUUAGCUAGUUGGUGAGGUAACGGCUCACCAAGGCGACGAUGCGUAGCCGACCUGAGAGGGUGAUCGGCCACACUGGGACUGAGACACGGCCCAGACUCCUACGGGAGGCAGCAGUAGGGAAUCUUCCACAAUGGACGAAAGUCUGAUGGAGCAACGCCGCGUGAGCGAUGAAGGCCUUCGGGUCGUAAAGCUCUGUUGUCAGGGAAGAACAAGUAUCGGAGUAACUGCCGGUGCCUUGACGGUACCUGACCAGAAAGCCACGGCUAACUACGUGCCAGCAGCCGCCGUAA
Molecule: ribosomal RNA, 512 nt
Filed under: uncultured bacterium
Lineage: Bacteria
Description: partial 16S ribosomal RNA
Rfam family: Bacterial small subunit ribosomal RNA
Source: RNAcentral